AUUGAACGCUGGCGGCAUGCUUUACACAUGCAAGUCGGACGGCAGCACGGGUGCUUGCACCUGGUGGCGAGUGGCGAACGGGUGAGUAAUAUAUUGGAACGUACCGAGUAGUGGGGGAUAACUAAGCGAAAGUUUGGCUAAUACCGCAUACGACCUGAGGGUGAAAGCGGGGGAUAGGAAACUGCCUCGCGCUAUUUGAGCGGCCAAUAUCUGAUUAGCUAGUUGGUGGGGUAAGGGCUUACCAAGGCGAUGAUCAGUAGCGGGUCUGAGAGGAUGAUCCGCCACACUGGGACUGAGAGACGGCCCAGACUCCUACGGGAGGCAGCAGUGGGGAAUUUUGGACAAUGGGGGCAACCCUGAUCCAGCCAUGCCGCGUGUCUGAAGAAGGCCUUCGGGUUGUAAAGGACUUUUGUUAGGGAAGAAAAGGGAAGUGCUAAUAUCACUUUUGGCUGACGGACCUAAAGAAAAGC
Molecule: ribosomal RNA, 470 nt
Filed under: Kingella sp. oral taxon 459
Lineage: Bacteria; Pseudomonadati; Pseudomonadota; Betaproteobacteria; Neisseriales; Neisseriaceae
Description: bacterial SSU rRNA
Rfam family: Bacterial small subunit ribosomal RNA
Source: RNAcentral